CUUAACGCCCUGAAGUGCAAUAUAUUGCUACACAAGUUAUUAAAUUUAGCACGAUUUGAAAACUUACCCCCUAGCUCAAUAAUGUAAACAUUUAUAGCAGCAAAAAUCGAAUAAAUUUCCAGCGGUAUUUUUUCGAAUUGCGGGUAGGGUGUGUCUAUUAGAAAACAGAAUACCCUUGUCAAAAAGAAGAUACAGGCGUAAACCCAAAAACAUGCGCCGCAAUAUAUCGCCAUUCGUUUUAAAAUAUUUAAAAAAUUUCGAAACAAUGCUAAAAAAUUAGUAUUGAUAUUAUGGUGUUUAACUUACCUAGGUAGAUUAGCCCUCUGGCAAUCAUCAAAACUCCAAACAAACACCACAGGAAGAUUUGUGCCGAAACUGUUGCUUCAAACCCGUAUUCCUUUGAAACAUAUUCAAUUAAAUCAAGAAAGGCUAGCAAGUAGACUCCGUAUCCAAGUAAGGAAAUGACAAAUAUUUUUGAACGGCGUGUCUGAGGUUUUGAGUUGCUGUUUGUGAUUGUCGCCUGAUUUCUAUUUCGAAGAUUAUAAUGUUCCUGUUGAGUAGUCUUCGGUUUUUGCUUGUCAUCUUGAGUUUCCUGUCGAUCAAAUGAUGAUUCCUCUUGAUUGCUCGAAGUCUCCUGUUGAUUAGCUUGUGGUUCCUGGGGUACAGCUUUUUGACCAGCCUGUGGCUCCUGUUGGGUGACCUUUGAAUAAGCUUGAGGGUUUUCUUGAACAGUCUCCAAUUUUUUCCCAGCAUUCUGAAGCUCCUCCUCUUGAACUGUCGAAGUUUUCUUUUUGUCCGUUUGUGAUUCCCCUUGAGUAAUGAAAGCUUCAUAUUGAGAGUCUAAUUGAGGAUUUCGAGGAUCCUCCUGGUCAGUUGGAAAGUUCGCUUGACCAGUGUGAGAUUCCUGUUGAUCACUUUCAAAGCUUUGCAUUCUUCCCAUUUCAAUUGAAUCAAUUCCCAUCUCCAGGUCGCAUGGUUUUUCUUUUGACUUUGUAAGAAUGAAUGAUUUGAUUACUUCCUUCAAGUUAUACAUUCUAUGUCUCUGUUCAUGCUUCACAAGUGGACUUGACGAUCUAGAAGAUCUAUUCUGUUCAUCUUCAUUUUCGUCAUUGACAUUUUCCGGACACGGAUCCUCUAGUAAGGUCUUCUGAAUAUUUCCAGAUUCUGAACCAUCUUCCUCCAUUUCUUCUUGCACGUUGAAAAUGGUUUCAUUUUCCAAAACGUAAAAAGACGACAAUGAUGUUGAUGAUGUAUUCUCGUUAAGCAUUUCUCCCAUUUCUUCAACUUAUCUCUAUCUUAUUAAUUAUUGUUAAUAUUGAAGCAGUAAAUCUGUUUUCAACAGUCAGAUAAUUUAUAAUUGGGGAACCGAAAAAUGAAGACUUCUAAAUAAAAACAAAUAGCAGCAGUACAAUUAAAGCCAAGCGAUUAUAUUGGAUUUCUAAAAAAAAUAGAAACACCUUGUAACCAACA
Molecule: non-coding RNA, 1470 nt
Organism: Schizosaccharomyces pombe (fission yeast)
Lineage: Eukaryota; Fungi; Ascomycota; Schizosaccharomycetes; Schizosaccharomycetales; Schizosaccharomycetaceae
Source: the annotation of a GenBank genome assembly